Molecule: ribosomal RNA, 465 nt
Filed under: Vreelandella stevensii
Lineage: Bacteria; Pseudomonadati; Pseudomonadota; Gammaproteobacteria; Oceanospirillales; Halomonadaceae
Description: partial 16S ribosomal RNA
Rfam family: Bacterial small subunit ribosomal RNA
Source: RNAcentral
CCUACGGGAGGCUGCCGUGGGGAAUAUUGGACAAUGGGCGAAAGCCUGAUCCAGCCAUGCCGCGUGUGUGAAGAAGGCCUUCGGGUUGUAAAGCACUUUCAGUGGGGAAGAAAGCCUUGGGGCUAAUACCCUCGAGGAAGGACAUCACCCACAGAAGAAGCACCGGCUAACUCCGUGCCAGCAGCCGCGGUAAUACGGAGGGUGCGAGCGUUAAUCGGAAUUACUGGGCGUAAAGCGCGCGUAGGCGGUCUGAUAAGCCGGUUGUGAAAGCCCCGGGCUCAACCUGGGAACGGCAUCCGGAACUGUCAGGCUAGAGUGCAGGAGAGGAAGGUAGAAUUCCCGGUGUAGCGGUGAAAUGCGUAGAGAUCGGGAGGAAUACCAGUGGCGAAGGCGGCCUUCUGGACUGACACUGACGCUGAGGUGCGAAAGCGUGGGUAGCAAACAGGAUUAGAUACCCUGGUAGUC